GGGAGCUGCGCGGCGCCGGGGCUUCCCCAGCGGAGCUCACCGCACGCCGGCGGCGGGGCCGGGGCUGCCCAGUCGGGCAAGGCCGCGGCGUGCGGCCUCCUCCGCCCUACGGGGCACGCUGGGCGAGGAGCUGCCCCCGGCCCGCAGCGGGAAGGGAGAAACAGUACGGCUUCAAGAAAAGCUUCCCAGUUCCAGAUUCGAGUAAUGAAACAGAGGAAAGAGACCCGAGCUGAACUAUGUAUAGCACAGCAACAAGUGCUUUGUUUAGGUGUUCCUAACCGCUUACAGUAGAAUGAAGAGAUCACAAUACUUAGCACGUGAAUUGGCAUUUAACACUAUGAAGUAUUUUUCCACUGG
Molecule: long non-coding RNA, 357 nt
Filed under: Gallus gallus (chicken)
Lineage: Eukaryota; Metazoa; Chordata; Aves; Galliformes; Phasianidae
Description: long non-coding RNA NONGGAT001025
Source: RNAcentral